Molecule: ribosomal RNA, 460 nt
Filed under: uncultured bacterium
Lineage: Bacteria
Description: bacterial SSU rRNA
Rfam family: Bacterial small subunit ribosomal RNA
Source: RNAcentral
CCUACGGGGGGCACCAGUGAGGAAUAUUGGACAAUGGGCGGGAGCCUGAUCCAGCCAUGCCGCGUGCAGGAAGACUGCCCUAUGGGCUGUAAACUGCUUUUAUACGGGAAGAAACACUCCCUCGUGAGGGAAUUUGACGGUACCGUAAGAAUAAGGAUCGGCUAACUCCGUGCCAGCACCCGCGGUAAUACGGAGGACCCAAGCGUUAUCCGGAAUCAUUGGGUUUAAAGGGUCCGUAGGUGGACGAUUAAGUCAGAGGUGAAAUCUUGCAGCUCAACUGUAAAAUUGCCUUUGAUACUGGUUGUCUUGAGUUAUUAUGAAGUGGUUAGAAUAUGUAGUGUAGCGGUGAAAUGCAUAGAUAUUACAUAGAAUACCAAUUGCGAAGGCAGAUCACUAAUAAUAUACUGACACUGAUGGACGAAAGCGUGGGUAGCGAACAGGAUUAGAUACCCGUGUAGUC